ACACAUGCAAGUCGAGGGGAAACGACAUCGAAAGCUUGCUUUUGAUGGGCGUCGACCGGCGCACGGGUGAGUAACACGUAUCCAACCUGCCGACAACACUGGGAUAGCCUUUCGAAAGAAAGAUUAAUACCGGAUGGUAUAGUUUUCCCGCAUGGGAUGAUUAUUAAAGAAUUUCGGUUGUCGAUGGGGAUGCGUUCCAUUAGGCAGUUGGCGGGGUAACGGCCCACCAAACCUACGAUGGAUAGGGGUUCUGAGAGGAAGGUCCCCCACAUUGGAACUGAGACACGGUCCAAACUCCUACGGGAGGCAGCAGUGAGGAAUAUUGGUCAAUGGACGAGAGUCUGAACCAGCCAAGUAGCGUGAAGGAUGACUGCCCUAUGGGUUGUAAACUUCUUUUAUACGGGAAUAAAGUGAGCCACGUGUGGCUUUUUGUAUGUACCGUAUGAAUAAGGAUCGGCUAACUCCGUGCCAGCAGCCGCGGUAAUACGGAGGAUCCGAGCGUUAUCCGGAUUUAUUGGGUUUAAAGGGAGCGUAGGCGGGUUGUUAAGUCAGUUGUGAAAGUUUGCGGCUCAACCGUAAAAUUGCAGUUGAUACUGGCGACCUUGAGUGCAACAGAGGUAGGCGGAAUUCGUGGUGUAGCGGUGAAAUGCUUAGAUAUCACGAAGAACUCCGAUUGCGAAGGCAGCUUACUGGAUUGUAACUGACGCUGAUGCUCGAAAGUGUGGGUAUCAAACAGGAUUAGAUACCCUGGUAGUCCACACAGUAAACGAUGAAUACUCGCUGUUUGCGAUAUACAGUAAGCGGCCAAGCGAAAGCAUUAAGUAUUCCACCUGGGG
Molecule: ribosomal RNA, 836 nt
Filed under: uncultured bacterium
Lineage: Bacteria
Description: bacterial SSU rRNA
Rfam family: Bacterial small subunit ribosomal RNA
Source: RNAcentral